This 492-nucleotide ribosomal RNA is filed under the name Candida tropicalis. RNAcentral's name for it is "eukaryotic LSU rRNA". The stretch from base 130 to 283 matches the Rfam family "5.8S ribosomal RNA". The record is from RNAcentral. Lineage: Eukaryota; Fungi; Ascomycota; Pichiomycetes; Serinales; Debaryomycetaceae.
UCCGUAGGUGAACCUGCGGUUUAUUGAACAAAUUUCUUUGGUGGCGGGAGCAAUCCUACCGCCAGCAGGUUAUAACUAAACCAAACUUUUUAUUUACAGUCAAACUUGAUUUAUUAUUACAAUAGUCAAAACUUUCAACAACGGAUCUCUUGGUUCUCGCAUCGAUGAAGAACGCAGCGAAAUGCGAUACGUAAUAUGAAUUGCAGAUAUUCGUGAAUCAUCGAAUCUUUGAACGCACAUUGCGCCCUUUGGUAUUCCAAAGGGCAUGCCUGUUUGAGCGUCAUUUCUCCCUCAAACCCCCGGGUUUGGUGUUGAGCAAUACGCUAGGUUUGUUUGAAAGAAUUUAACGUGGAAACUUAUUUUAAGCGACUUAGGUUUAUCCAAAAACGUUAAUUUUGCUAUGGGCCACCACAUUUUAUUUCAUAACUUUAACUUCAAUUCAGGUAGGAUUCCCCGCUAAAUUUAACCUUUUCAUUAACGGGAGGGAAAAGG